This 492-nucleotide ribosomal RNA is filed under the name uncultured bacterium. Its description in RNAcentral is "partial 16S ribosomal RNA". It matches the Rfam family "Bacterial small subunit ribosomal RNA", at positions 29 to 507 of the family's 1533-position model. The record is from RNAcentral.
AGUGAACGCUGGCGGCAGGCCUAACACAUGCAAGUCGAACGGCAGCACAAUAAGAGCGCGCCCUUACGGUUAGCGAGUGACGGACGGGUGAGGAAUACAUCGGAAUCUACUUUGACGGGGGGGACAACGGAGGGAAGCUGACGCUAAUAGCGCAUACGACGUACGGGUGAAAGCAGGAGAGCUUCGGACCUUGCGCGAUUGAAUGAGCCGAUGUCGGAUUAGCUAGUUGGCGAGGUAAAGGCACACCAAGGCGACGAUCCGUAGCUGGUCUGAGAGGAUGAUCGGCCACACUGGAACUGAGACACGGUCCAGACUCCUACGGGAGGCAGCAGUGGGGAAUAUUCCACAAUGGGCGCAAGCCUGACCCAGCCAUGCCGCGUGAGUGAAGAAGGCCUUCGGGUCGUAAAGCCCUUUUAUUAGGGAAGAACAGAAGUGGAUUAAUCUCCGGCCAUUUUGACGGUACCUAAACAGUAAGCACCGGCUAACUUCGUG